This 2930-nucleotide ribosomal RNA is filed under the name Escherichia coli. RNAcentral describes it as "23S ribosomal RNA". It matches the Rfam family "Bacterial large subunit ribosomal RNA". RNAcentral also lists the same sequence under 4 other names. The record is from RNAcentral. Lineage: Bacteria; Pseudomonadati; Pseudomonadota; Gammaproteobacteria; Enterobacterales; Enterobacteriaceae.
GGGUUGUGAGGUUAAGCGACUAAGCGUACACGGUGGAUGCCCUGGCAGUCAGAGGCGAUGAAGGACGUGCUAAUCUGCGAUAAGCGUCGGUAAGGUGAUAUGAACCGUUAUAACCGGCGAUUUCCGAAUGGGGAAACCCAGUGUGAUUCGUCACACUAUCAUUAACUGAAUCCAUAGGUUAAUGAGGCGAACCGGGGGAACUGAAACAUCUAAGUACCCCGAGGAAAAGAAAUCAACCGAGAUUCCCCCAGUAGCGGCGAGCGAACGGGGAGCAGCCCAGAGCCUGAAUCAGUGUGUGUGUUAGUGGAAGCGUCUGGAAAGGCGCGCGAUACAGGGUGACAGCCCCGUACACAAAAAUGCACAUGCUGUGAGCUCGAUGAGUAGGGCGGGACACGUGGUAUCCUGUCUGAAUAUGGGGGGACCAUCCUCCAAGGCUAAAUACUCCUGACUGACCGAUAGUGAACCAGUACCGUGAGGGAAAGGCGAAAAGAACCCCGGCGAGGGGAGUGAAAAAGAACCUGAAACCGUGUACGUACAAGCAGUGGGAGCACGCUUAGGCGUGUGACUGCGUACCUUUUGUAUAAUGGGUCAGCGACUUAUAUUCUGUAGCAAGGUUAACCGAAUAGGGGAGCCGAAGGGAAACCGAGUCUUAACUGGGCGUUAAGUUGCAGGGUAUAGACCCGAAACCCGGUGAUCUAGCCAUGGGCAGGUUGAAGGUUGGGUAACACUAACUGGAGGACCGAACCGACUAAUGUUGAAAAAUUAGCGGAUGACUUGUGGCUGGGGGUGAAAGGCCAAUCAAACCGGGAGAUAGCUGGUUCUCCCCGAAAGCUAUUUAGGUAGCGCCUCGUGAAUUCAUCUCCGGGGGUAGAGCACUGUUUCGGCAAGGGGGUCAUCCCGACUUACCAACCCGAUGCAAACUGCGAAUACCGGAGAAUGUUAUCACGGGAGACACACGGCGGGUGCUAACGUCCGUCGUGAAGAGGGAAACAACCCAGACCGCCAGCUAAGGUCCCAAAGUCAUGGUUAAGUGGGAAACGAUGUGGGAAGGCCCAGACAGCCAGGAUGUUGGCUUAGAAGCAGCCAUCAUUUAAAGAAAGCGUAAUAGCUCACUGGUCGAGUCGGCCUGCGCGGAAGAUGUAACGGGGCUAAACCAUGCACCGAAGCUGCGGCAGCGACGCUGAUGCGUUGUUGGGUAGGGGAGCGUUCUGUAAGCCUGUGAAGGUGUGCUGUGAGGCAUGCUGGAGGUAUCAGAAGUGCGAAUGCUGACAUAAGUAACGAUAAAGCGGGUGAAAAGCCCGCUCGCCGGAAGACCAAGGGUUCCUGUCCAACGUUAAUCGGGGCAGGGUGAGUCGACCCCUAAGGCGAGGCCGAAAGGCGUAGUCGAUGGGAAACAGGUUAAUAUUCCUGUACUUGGUGUUACUGCGAAGGGGGGACGGAGAAGGCUAUGUUGGCCGGGCGACGGUUGUCCCGGUUUAAGCGUGUAGGCUGGUUUUCCAGGCAAAUCCGGAAAACUAAGGCUGAGGCGUGAUGACGAGGCACUACGGUGCUGAAGCAACAAAUGCCCUGCUUCCAGGAAAAGCCUCUAAGCAUCAGGUAACAUCAAAUCGUACCCCAAACCGACACAGGUGGUCAGGUAGAGAAUACCAAGGCGCUUGAGAGAACUCGGGUGAAGGAACUAGGCAAAAUGGUGCCGUAACUUCGGGAGAAGGCACGCUGAUAUGUAGGUGAAGUCCCUCGCGGAUGGAGCUGAAAUCAGUCGAAGAUACCAGCUGGCUGCAACUGUUUAUUAAAAACACAGCACUGUGCAAACACGAAAGUGGACGUAUACGGUGUGACGCCUGCCCGGUGCCGGAAGGUUAAUUGAUGGGGUUAGCGCAAGCGAAGCUCUUGAUCGAAGCCCCGGUAAACGGCGGCCGUAACUAUAACGGUCCUAAGGUAGCGAAAUUCCUUGUCGGGUAAGUUCCGACCUGCACGAAUGGCGUAAUGAUGGCCAGGCUGUCUCCACCCGAGACUCAGUGAAAUUGAACUCGCUGUGAAGAUGCAGUGUACCCGCGGCAAGACGGAAAGACCCCGUGAACCUUUACUAUAGCUUGACACUGAACAUUGAGCCUUGAUGUGUAGGAUAGGUGGGAGGCUUUGAAGUGUGGACGCCAGUCUGCAUGGAGCCGACCUUGAAAUACCACCCUUUAAUGUUUGAUGUUCUAACGUUGACCCGUAAUCCGGGUUGCGGACAGUGUCUGGUGGGUAGUUUGACUGGGGCGGUCUCCUCCUAAAGAGUAACGGAGGAGCACGAAGGUUGGCUAAUCCUGGUCGGACAUCAGGAGGUUAGUGCAAUGGCAUAAGCCAGCUUGACUGCGAGCGUGACGGCGCGAGCAGGUGCGAAAGCAGGUCAUAGUGAUCCGGUGGUUCUGAAUGGAAGGGCCAUCGCUCAACGGAUAAAAGGUACUCCGGGGAUAACAGGCUGAUACCGCCCAAGAGUUCAUAUCGACGGCGGUGUUUGGCACCUCGAUGUCGGCUCAUCACAUCCUGGGGCUGAAGUAGGUCCCAAGGGUAUGGCUGUUCGCCAUUUAAAGUGGUACGCGAGCUGGGUUUAGAACGUCGUGAGACAGUUCGGUCCCUAUCUGCCGUGGGCGCUGGAGAACUGAGGGGGGCUGCUCCUAGUACGAGAGGACCGGAGUGGACGCAUCACUGGUGUUCGGGUUGUCAUGCCAAUGGCACUGCCCGGUAGCUAAAUGCGGAAGAGAUAAGUGCUGAAAGCAUCUAAGCACGAAACUUGCCCCGAGAUGAGUUCUCCCUGACUCCUUGAGAGUCCUGAAGGAACGUUGAAGACGACGACGUUGAUAGGCCGGGUGUGUAAGCGCAGCGAUGCGUUGAGCUAACCGGUACUAAUGAACCGUGAGGCUUAACCUUACAACGCCGAAGCUGUU